This 70-nucleotide transfer RNA is filed under the name Bacteriophage sp. Its description in RNAcentral is "tRNA-OTHER". It matches the Rfam family "tRNA". From Rfam's summary of the family: Transfer RNA (tRNA) molecules are approximately 80 nucleotides in length. Their secondary structure includes four short double-helical elements and three loops (D, anti-codon, and T loops). Further hydrogen bonds mediate the characteristic L-shaped molecular structure. tRNAs have two regions of fundamental functional importance: the anti-codon, which is responsible for specific mRNA codon recognition, and the 3' end, to which the tRNAs corresponding amino acid is attached (by aminoacyl-tRNA synthetases). tRNAs cope with the degeneracy of the genetic code in two manners: having more than one tRNA (with a specific anti-codon) for a particular amino acid; and 'wobble' base-pairing, i.e. permitting non-standard base-pairing at the 3rd anti-codon position. The record is from RNAcentral.
GUUGGUGUGGUGUAAUGGUAGCACCGAUGCUCAACAGCAUUGAAUAUAGGUUCAAGUCCUAUCAUCAGCA